Molecule: long non-coding RNA, 202 nt
Filed under: Elaeis guineensis (African oil palm)
Lineage: Eukaryota; Viridiplantae; Streptophyta; Magnoliopsida; Arecales; Arecaceae
Description: long non-coding RNA (EGUI_LNC055029)
Source: RNAcentral
GCUUCGAGGCAAAAGCCCCAAUUUUGUUUAUGGAGCAGAUUAUUUUUUACCUUCAUAGAUGGACAGCCAAAGGAGGGGAAAUAUCAAUCCAGUAUCACUGAAAUCCUCCAAAGGUUAUCUGACAAGCAGUGGGGAGGAUGAUUAAACUUCGAGCCGAAAGUGUAACGGAAUGAAUUAAGAGGGUGAGUACGGAGCAUGGGGG